GGUGUAGCUUAGUCGGUUAAAGCGUCGGAUUGUGGUCCCGAAGAUCGUGGGUUCGAAUCCCAUCUC
Molecule: transfer RNA, 66 nt
Filed under: human gut metagenome
Rfam family: tRNA
About the family: Transfer RNA (tRNA) molecules are approximately 80 nucleotides in length. Their secondary structure includes four short double-helical elements and three loops (D, anti-codon, and T loops).
Source: RNAcentral